GACGAACGCUGGCGGCGUGCUUAACACAUGCAAGUCGAACGGUGAAGGGACCGGUUUUUGCUGGUUCUGGAUGAGUGGCGAACGGGUGAGUAACACGUGAGUAACCUGCCCCCUUCUUCCGGAUAACCGCAUGAAAGUGUGGCUAAUACGGGAUAUUCUGCGCCUGCUGCAUGGUGGGUGUGGGAAAGAUAUUGUUUCGGUGGGGGAUGGGCUCGCGGCCUAUCAGCUUGUUGGUGGGGUGAUGGCCUACCAAGGCGGUGACGGGUAGCCGGCCUGAGAGGGUGGACGGUCACACUGGGACUGAGACACGGCCCAGACUCCUACGGGAGGCAGCAGUGGGGAAUAUUGCACAAUGGGCGCAAGCCUGAUGCAGCGACGCCGCGUGAGGGAUGGAGGCCUUCGGGUUGUAAACCUCUUUCGCCAGUGAAGCAGGCCUGUCCCUUUUGUGGGUGGGUUGACGGUAGCUGGAGAAGAAGCGCCGGCUAACUACGUG
This 493-nucleotide ribosomal RNA is filed under the name uncultured bacterium. RNAcentral's name for it is "partial 16S ribosomal RNA". It matches the Rfam family "Bacterial small subunit ribosomal RNA", at positions 28 to 507 of the family's 1533-position model. The record is from RNAcentral.